Nyctereutes procyonoides (raccoon dog) is the source of this 729-nucleotide non-coding RNA. The record is from the annotation of a RefSeq genome assembly. NCBI's taxonomy places the organism in Eukaryota, Metazoa, Chordata, Mammalia, Carnivora, Canidae.
GGAGGCACUGGGCAGGACAAGGAAUAGCGCGGGGAGUAGCGGAUCCUGAGUCCUAGCAAAGUAGCCUUUGGUACUAGACCAGAAGGUAGCCCGCAGACACAGCGGUGACAUCAUAGGCAAGUAGUCCUAUCAGGGAAAUGGGAGGUUCAGCACCUGAGACUGCUCACCCCAGCAGACCCCAGCCCCGAGCGGGGAGGCUAUCAGCUUCCCAGGGCUGCCAUGGGCUCCAGGCUUCUCUGCUGUGUGGCCCUUUGUCUCCUGGGAGCCGGCCCCGUGGAGUCUGAGGUCAUCCAAACUCCAAGACACAUGAUCAAAGCAAGAGGACAGACAGUGACCCUGAGAUGUUCCCUUAUCUCUGGACACCUAUCUGUGUACUGGUACCAACAGGCCCUGGGCCAGGGCCCCCGGUUUCUCAUUCAGUAUUACAAUAGGGAAGAGGGAGACAAAGGAGACAUCCCGGCAAGAUUCUCAGUGCAGCAGUUCAGUGACGCCAGCUCCCAGCUGGAGAUGAACUCCCUGGAGCCAGGAGACUCAGCCCUGUAUCUCUGUGCCAGCAGCUUGGCACAGCCCUGCACGAUCGGCAGGCUUCUGUACAAAAACCUUCCACCCCUCCAGCUCAGGAAGUGUGGCGAGGGUGGCGGUGCCAACCACAGUGGCCCGGGCCCAGGUAAAGCAGACGGGCCUCUCCCAGAUGCUCCUCCUGCAGCCUUCGUGUGUGGCAUGUCCUAA